Molecule: ribosomal RNA, 253 nt
Filed under: uncultured bacterium
Lineage: Bacteria
Description: partial 16S ribosomal RNA
Rfam family: Bacterial small subunit ribosomal RNA
Source: RNAcentral
UACGAAGGGGGCUAGCGUUGCUCGGAAUCACUGGGCGUAAAGCGCACGUAGGCGGCUUUCUAAGUCAGGGGGGAAAUCCUGGAGCUCAACUCCAGAACUGCCUUUGAUACUGGAGAGCUUGAGUCCGGAAGAGGUGAGUGGAACUCCGAGUGUAGAGGUGAAAUUCGUAGAUAUUCGGAAGAACACCAGUGGCGAAGGCGGCUCACUGGUCCGGUACUGACGCUGAGGUGCGAAAGCGUGGGGAGCAAACAGG